Molecule: ribosomal RNA, 225 nt
Filed under: uncultured Anaerolineaceae bacterium
Lineage: Bacteria; Bacillati; Chloroflexota; Anaerolineae; Anaerolineales; Anaerolineaceae
Description: partial 16S ribosomal RNA
Rfam family: Bacterial small subunit ribosomal RNA
Source: RNAcentral
GCCGGAGGAAGGUGAGGAUGAUGUCAAGUCAGCAUGACCUUUAAUUAUCCAGGGCUACACACACGCUACAAUGGUCUGUACAAUGGGUAGCCAAGCCGCGAGGCGGAGCCAAUCCUGAAAGCAGGCCUCAGUUCAGAUUGCAGUCUGCAACUCGACUGCAUGGAAGUCCGGAGUUGCUAGUAACCGCAGGUCAGCAAUACUGCGGUGAAUACGUUCCCGGGUCUU